Cyanistes caeruleus (blue tit) is the source of this 494-nucleotide non-coding RNA. The record is from RefSeq and is a predicted model, not a curated record. NCBI's taxonomy places the organism in Eukaryota, Metazoa, Chordata, Aves, Passeriformes, Paridae.
ACAAGUUUUUUAGCUCAGCUUGACAUAAGCAAUGCAACCUGUGCUCAUCCUCUGAACACUGAAACAUUUCUUUAUCUCCACUAAUCUCCCCAACAGUCCUUUUAUAAAUCCUUAUAAAAGCUUGUAAUUGUGGCCACAGAAGAGAAGUACUCCUUUUUAUGAGCCACAGGAUUCUGCAUUUGGCUAAUCUACCUGCAGUGUAUUCCCUCAGAGAGAUCUUCACUGUAAAAAGUUCCUUUUAUGUCUUUACAGUUUUGGCAGGACUGAGGAGUUAGUCAGAAGGAAUGGGUAAAUACUGACUGGCCUGAAAGUGAGUAAAGGCACCAAAGAGAAGGGCAGUGGUUUAGCACUUCUGAGUGGAAACAUGGACGGGAUUCACUUUGGGACAACUUCAGACUGAUAAUUAGAGAGAAGCACUGUGAUGUGACAGAUCCUUGUUACUCCCACAAAGGUUUCUACAAUGUAGCAUCUACUAGUUUCCAUUGCUUCAAGGU